This 363-nucleotide long non-coding RNA is filed under the name Capsella rubella. RNAcentral describes it as "long non-coding RNA (CRUB_LNC004171)". The record is from RNAcentral. Lineage: Eukaryota; Viridiplantae; Streptophyta; Magnoliopsida; Brassicales; Brassicaceae.
GAAAACCCUCGACCACUUCCUGACCGACCAUCAUUCCUCGGUAAUACCUAUGCACGACACUUCCGUUGCCCAAGCACACACAUUCUGAACACUAACUCAGAAACCGAAUUCUUGUUCCAACCAAACCAUGGUCGAACACCGAUUAACCACACUUGGAAUUUCCUUUUUCCUAAUUAGUUAAGCCAUUCUACUCUCCAAAGAGUCUAUUGGUUCACGAUUAUGCCUUAGACACACAAAGUCUCGAAGCACCUCACUCGUUUCACCUCAACCAUUUCUUAAGUACGAAUGCUCUACAUAACUUAUCCAACCCCAAAAUUGGACCAUCUCCAAUCGCUCAGAAACAUAACUAUUAUCUCGGUUUCC